GCAGUUUUAGCACAUCAUACUUAUUGACAGAAUAUUUGUGGCGUGCAACACCACGCUGUUUUGCGCACGCAUGAGCGACUCAUACCCUUAUCUGGCAUUUACUAAUGUAUAGCCAGUGUGCAGCUCGCGCGCACGAGUAUACUAGGCGCGAGCGCUGAAAUUCCUCCGCUGCUCACAGUCUGUGAUGUGCUCGCGCUCGGGACAGGGGCACUGGCACGCGCCAAACCGCUUUGGUUCCUUUGCACGCAGGAUACAGGAAUAAAAAUCCAUUUAGACCUUGGUUUUUCACGUGGUGGACUGGGAGACUCCCUGCGCCUUUUGAGAACAGUGGGUAAUUUCCAGUCGUCUGCCAUGUAUGAGGAGUCUGUGGAGACACAUGAAGUCAAAACUGAGAGCACCAUCGGGUCCUCUGUCUCCGCCUGCAAGAAGGUUUUGUGCAGUAACAGUGUGCUGGAUUCAUCUGAGUACUGGUUGAAGAAUGAUAAGGCCCUCUGCAGAAUUGGAUUUCUGGAGGACCAGCAUGAGGGAAGCUGCCCUACAGUGAGCU
Non-coding RNA from Paramisgurnus dabryanus, 547 nucleotides. Lineage: Eukaryota; Metazoa; Chordata; Actinopteri; Cypriniformes; Cobitidae. The record is from RefSeq and is a predicted model, not a curated record.